This 460-nucleotide ribosomal RNA is filed under the name uncultured bacterium. Its description in RNAcentral is "partial 16S ribosomal RNA". It matches the Rfam family "Bacterial small subunit ribosomal RNA", at positions 338 to 795 of the family's 1533-position model. The record is from RNAcentral.
CCUACGGGUGGCAGCAGUGAGGAAUAUUGGUCAAUGGACGAGAGUCUGAACCAGCCAAGUAGCGUGAAGGAUGACUGCCCUACGGGUUGUAAACUUCUUUUAUAUGGGAAUAAAAUGCUCCACGUGUGGGAUUUUGUAUGUACCAUAUGAAUAAGGAUCGGCUAACUCCGUGCCAGCAGCCGCGGUAAUACGGAGGAUCCGAGCGUUAUCCGGAUUUAUUGGGUUUAAAGGGAGCGUAGGUGGAUUGUUAAGUCAGUUGUGAAAGUUUGCGGCUCAACCGUAAAAUUGCAGUUGAAACUGGCAGUCUUGAGUACAGUAGAGGUAGGCGGAAUUCGUGGUGUAGCGGUGAAAUGCUUAGAUAUCACGAAGAACCCCGAUUGCGAAGGCAGCUUACUGCACUCCAACUGACACUGAGGCUCGAAAGUGUGGGUAUCAAACAGGAUUAGAUACCCUUGUAGUC